Molecule: long non-coding RNA, 1621 nt
Filed under: Salvia miltiorrhiza (redroot sage)
Lineage: Eukaryota; Viridiplantae; Streptophyta; Magnoliopsida; Lamiales; Lamiaceae
Description: long non-coding RNA (SMIL_LNC005528)
Source: RNAcentral
AGAACAUCAAAAAUGUUAGAAAGAGAGGUUCAAAUCACAAACACAAACUCAGAGGAGUUAACACUACAAAUCACGAAUCUUAUGCGAAAUUCUGACAACGUCACGCUAGGAUUCAAGUUGGAUGGGAACAAUUAUGCCCUAUGGGCUCGCCUCAUGAAGGUGGCAAUAGGGAGCAGAGGCAAGUCGAGCCAUAUCACCGGACAACCACCGCCACCAAAAUCGACGGAUCCCGAUUAUUACAAAUGGGAGGAAUCGGAUCUGUCAGUUUUCUCAUGGUUAAUACAAAACAUGGAAGGCAAGUUGAUAAUCAAUUUCGCCCAACAUCAGACGGCAAAAGCCGUCUGGGAUAGCCUGGCUGUAACGUACGGGAGUGGAACCGCUGACCCACUUCAAAUUUACGACCUGGAAGUGAGAGCCAACAAGGUCAAUCAAGGGCAACUAACCUUGGAAGACUACUGGAGUAAUCUACAGACCAUUUGGCUCAAUAUUGAUCGAAGAGAGCCCAAUCCUAUCGGCUGUUGCGAGGAAGGAAUCUCAAAGUACCGGAAAUUAAUCGAAAAUCGCCGCCUCUAUCAAUUUCUUUCCGGAUUAAAUGCGAAGUAUGACGGAAUCCGGCGAGAUAUCCUUAAGGAAUCUCCCUCUCCCUCAGCCGAGUCGGCAUUUUCGAAAGUACGGAGGGAGGCCGCCCGGCUUCUGAUCUUACAGCCGGCAACUUUCCCCACCGACUCUGAAGUUACAUCAUCGGGAGGAAUCGGCGUUGGCCUCACCACCUCUCGACCUCCUUUCUCACGGCCGGAAGGAGCCCAACAACAGAACACCACCGCAAGAUCACAGACAUACCAAACCGACGCCCCAUCAUCGCGAAAGAAGGUAGACAAAUCGAAACUCCAUUGUAGUCACUGUGGGAUGCAGCGACAUACGAAGGAGAUGUGCUUUCGGCUCGUCGGAUAUCCCGAUUGGUGGGAAGAUAACCGGAAAAAUGCGAAGGGAAAGUCGGCGAUCGGUGUGGAGACGGCGGAGAUCGCCGGAUCGGCGGUGGCGGUGAGCAACGGCCUUCAACAGACGAGAGAGAAGGAGGGAGUGGCUGGAAGAGGAGAGGCGUCGCAAGCCUCAAUUGACCGAAAAUUUCUUGAAGAGGAGCCCCAAGAUCGAGAAUAUGGGUGGAUGAGAGAGAAAGAAGGGAUUUCUGGAAGAGGAGAGGCGGCUACCUCCAUUGACCGAAAAUUAUUAGGUAAAGGGUUUGGUGGAUUUCCACUAAACCCUCCCACUUCUCCUUUAUUACAAAAUAAACCCCACUUUAAUUCCUUUAGUUUGGGGGAAUUAUCAAAUGCACCCAAACUUUCCCAUAAUUCGAAAAUUAGCCCCCAUUUAUGUGGAAAAUCCAUAGAUACCUCUAUUGCUUACCAAGUCACAAAUAAAAACAAAGACAGAGAUAUAGGAUGGAUUUUUGAUUGUGGAGCCACUGAUACAAUGACCUUUGAUAAAAAUGAUAUUAUCGAGUCAUCAAAAUCCUCUAGAACUCAUGUUCAAACGGCCAGUGGUGACUUAACUCGGGUUGAAGGAGCAGGAACAAUAGAGAUGUCUCCCACUUUAAAACUUUCAAAUUGUCUAUAUGUCCCGU